CCUACGGGGGACAGCAGUAGGGAAUUUUGCGCAAUGGGGGAAACCCUGACGCAGCAACGCCGCGUGAUCGAUGAAGCCCUUCGGGGUGUAAAGAUCUGUUAGUGGGGACGAAACCUGACGGUACCCACAGAGGAAGCACCGGCUAACUCCGUGCCAGCAGCCGCGGUAAUACGGGGGGUGCAAGCGUUCUCCGGAAUCAUUGGGCGUAAAGAGUUCGUAGGUGGCACGUUAGGUCUGUUGGUAAAGCCUUAGGCUCAACGUCCGUAGGGCACUGGAAACUGGCGUGCUUGAGUGCGGGAGAGGUAAAGGGAAUUCCUGGUGUAGCGGUAAAAUGCGUAGAUAUCAGGAGGAACAUCGGUGGCGUAGGCGCUUUACUGGGCCGUAAUUGACACUGAGGAGCGAAAGCCGGGGUAGCAAAUGGGAUUAGAUACCCCUGUAGUC
Molecule: ribosomal RNA, 441 nt
Filed under: uncultured bacterium
Lineage: Bacteria
Description: partial 16S ribosomal RNA
Rfam family: Bacterial small subunit ribosomal RNA
Source: RNAcentral